This 80-nucleotide transfer RNA is filed under the name Ipomoea nil (Japanese morning glory). It matches the Rfam family "tRNA". Rfam says of the family: Transfer RNA (tRNA) molecules are approximately 80 nucleotides in length. Their secondary structure includes four short double-helical elements and three loops (D, anti-codon, and T loops). The record is from Rfam by way of RNAcentral. Lineage: Eukaryota; Viridiplantae; Streptophyta; Magnoliopsida; Solanales; Convolvulaceae.
GAUGGUUUGGCCGAGUGGUCUAAGGCGCCAGAUUUAGGCUCUGGUCUGAAAGGGCGUGGGUUCAAAUCCCACAGUUGUCA